UCCUAUGAGAAGGACGACCACUGAGA
This 26-nucleotide non-coding RNA is filed under the name Drosophila melanogaster (fruit fly). Lineage: Eukaryota; Metazoa; Arthropoda; Insecta; Diptera; Drosophilidae. The record is from RNAcentral.